GGAGAGGAAGGUGGGGAUGACGUCAAGUCCGCAUGGCCUUUAUGUCCMGGGCUACACACGUGUUACAAUGCAGGGCACAAACCGUUGCCAACCCGCGRGGGGGAGCUAAUCRGAAAAAACUCUGCUCAGUUCGGAUUGCAGUCUGCAACUCGACUGCAUGAAGCCGGAAUCGCUAGUAAUGGCGUAUCAGAUCGACGCCG
RNAcentral lists this ribosomal RNA (200 nucleotides) under uncultured bacterium. RNAcentral's name for it is "partial 16S ribosomal RNA". It matches the Rfam family "Bacterial small subunit ribosomal RNA", at positions 1163 to 1362 of the family's 1533-position model. The record is from RNAcentral.